RNAcentral lists this ribosomal RNA (514 nucleotides) under Dactylogyrus intermedius. RNAcentral's name for it is "bacterial SSU rRNA". It matches the Rfam family "Eukaryotic small subunit ribosomal RNA", at positions 1343 to 1831 of the family's 1831-position model. The record is from RNAcentral. Lineage: Eukaryota; Metazoa; Platyhelminthes; Monogenea; Dactylogyridea; Dactylogyridae.
CUAACCUGCUAAAUAGUACAGUUGCAAUUGUUAUGUGGACCUCUGUCCUUGUGCCUCUGGUGCAGAGACGGAACCACAUAAGCAGGUGAAACUUCUUAGAGGAACUGGCGCCCGAAAAGGCGCACGAGAAAGAGCAAUAACAGGUCUGUGAUGCCCUAAGAUGUCCGGGGCCGCACGCGUGCUACAAUGACGAUGCUACUGAGCAUGAUUUACUUGUCCGAAAGGAUUGGUGAAACUGUUCAAUCAUCGUCGUGACUGGGAUUGAGGUUUGUAAUUAUCCCUCAUGAACCAGGAAUUCCUAGUAAGCACAAGUCAUAAGCUUGUGCUGAUUACGUCCCUGCCCUUUGUACACACCGCCCGUCGCUACUACCGAUUGAAUGGUUUAGCAAGGACAUUGGAUCGAGCCUUUGCGGUUCACGCUGCUUUGGUUUGAGAAGAUGUCCGAACUUGAUCAUUUAGAGGAAGUAAAAGUCGUAACAAGGUUUCCGUAGGUGAACCUGCGGAAGGAUCAUUA